This 263-nucleotide unclassified non-coding RNA is filed under the name air metagenome. Its description in RNAcentral is "partial contains small subunit ribosomal RNA, internal transcribed spacer 1, and 5.8S ribosomal RNA". The stretch from base 1 to 46 matches the Rfam family "Eukaryotic small subunit ribosomal RNA", at positions 1786 to 1831 of the family's 1831-position model. The record is from RNAcentral.
AAGUCGUAACAAGGUCUCCGUUGGUGAACCAGCGGAGGGAUCAUUACAGAGUUGCAAAACUCCAACAAACCAUCGCGAAUCUUACCCGUACGGUUGCCUCGGCGCUGGCGGUCCGGAAGGCCCUCGGGCCCCCGGAUCCUUGGGUCUCCCGCUCGCGGGAGGCUGCCCGCCGGAGUGCCGAAACCAAACUCUUGAUAUUUUAUGUCUCUCUGAGUAAACUUUUAAAUAAGUCAAAACUUUCAACAACGGAUCUCUUGGUUCUG